GACGAACGCUGGCGGCGUGCCUAAUACAUGCAAGUCGAGCGGACGAAUCGGAAGCUUGCUUUUGAUUCGUUAGCGGCGGACGGGUGAGUAACACGUGGGCAACCUGCCCUGUAGACGGGGAUAACACCGAGAAAUCGGUGCUAAUACCGGAUAACACGAAAUGUCGCAUGACGUUUCGUUGAAAGACGGCGCAAGCUGUCGCUACAGGAUGGGCCCGCGGCGCAUUAGCUAGUUGGUGAGGUAACGGCUCACCAAGGCGACGAUGCGUAGCCGACCUGAGAGGGUGAUCGGCCACACUGGGACUGAGACACGGCCCAGACUCCUACGGGAGGCAGCAGUAGGGAAUCUUCCGCAAUGGACGAAAGUCUGACGGAGCAACGCCGCGUGAGCGAAGAAGGCCUUCGGGUCGUAAAGCUCUGUUGUUAGGGAAGAACAAGUAACGCAGUAACUGGCGUUACCGUGACGGUACCUAACGAGAAAGCCACGGCUAACUACGUG
This 498-nucleotide ribosomal RNA is filed under the name uncultured bacterium. RNAcentral describes it as "partial 16S ribosomal RNA". It matches the Rfam family "Bacterial small subunit ribosomal RNA", at positions 28 to 507 of the family's 1533-position model. The record is from RNAcentral.